This 73-nucleotide transfer RNA is filed under the name Algisphaera agarilytica. It matches the Rfam family "tRNA". Rfam says of the family: Transfer RNA (tRNA) molecules are approximately 80 nucleotides in length. Their secondary structure includes four short double-helical elements and three loops (D, anti-codon, and T loops). The record is from Rfam by way of RNAcentral. Lineage: Bacteria; Pseudomonadati; Planctomycetota; Phycisphaerae; Phycisphaerales; Phycisphaeraceae. RNAcentral also lists the same sequence under 1 other name.
GGGGCCGUAGCUCAAUUGGGAGAGCGCUGUGUUCGCAAUGCAGAGGUUGUGGGUUCGAUCCCCAUCGGCUCCA